RNAcentral lists this ribosomal RNA (253 nucleotides) under uncultured bacterium. RNAcentral's name for it is "partial 16S ribosomal RNA". It matches the Rfam family "Bacterial small subunit ribosomal RNA", at positions 524 to 776 of the family's 1533-position model. The record is from RNAcentral.
UACGUAGGUGGCAAGCGUUGUCCGGAAUUAUUGGGCGUAAAGGGCGUGUAGGUGGGUUUUUAAGUCGUGUGUCUAAGUGCGAGGCUCAACUUCGUAUGGGCGCAGGAAACUGAAAAUCUUGAGUGCGGGAGAGGAAAGUGGAAUUCCCAGUGUAGCGGUGAAAUGCGUAGAUAUCGGAAGGAACAUCAGUGGCGAAAGCGACUUCCUGGACCAAUACUGACGCUCAUGUGCGAAAGCGUGGGGAGCAAACAGG